Molecule: long non-coding RNA, 2100 nt
Organism: Astatotilapia calliptera (eastern happy)
Lineage: Eukaryota; Metazoa; Chordata; Actinopteri; Cichliformes; Cichlidae
Source: Ensembl
CAGGUUUUAUUGCAUAUCAAUUUCAUGUAUAAAUUCUUCAUAGCAUUGGAAAGAUUACAUUUGGUAUACAUUGCUAUUCUACAGAAUUAACAUCAGAGUCAUAUCUUUUCAAUGAAAUUUCUCUAAAGUACAUCUGCAAUAAUCACAAGCAUCAAAAGAACUGCAAUUUCAGAAUUGUUCAAUAUUAUUCUACAAUCCUUUAUUGUUUUUCAUUAUGUCUUCUCUGACAAGUCUUUUCUAAGUCUUUCGGGACCACCUGUCCAAACAUCUGUAAGGCAGUCAGAAGUUGAAGUCAAACAUACUAACCUAACCACAUGUACAAUAAGUGCAUCUACGAAUUUCUUUUUUUUUUUCCUUCUUUUCUUUUUUUUUUAAAUUUUUAAUUUUUUUGAUUUGAUACACGUUUCACAAAUGGACAUCAUUAUGACUGCUAACACGUCAUGCACAAUAAAUUUUUUUUUGUUUGCUUUCAAUAAACAUAACAGAGGCGAUAUACAACUCAGAUUUUAACAAAACAAGCACCAUCCAUUUAAACCCAUAUUUUUCAAUGAUUUUUUUUCUUCAGACAAAUGCACCAUGUUUUUCAUUCUUUAAAAUACUAUACAGUUAAAAAGAAACUAUGUAUAUUUUUUACUUUCUCCUGUAACAGCGGGGGCAAACAGCAACCAUCUUCUAUUUUGCUGAAACAUAUUUCAGUGACCACUUGCCAGAAUACGUUCUGAAGCUGGCAAAAUGAAAUACCUAUAUGCCUUCAGUUCCUUUGCUUUACACAGCGCGUACUUAUUACAGUAGUCCAUGACAAGAAUUACUACAAACAGUCAACCUUAAAACUUAAUGACCCAAGUCUUUACAUUUUGUAACCACAAGUUGGAAAGCAAUGCAUUUACCAUGAAUUGAAUCUCAUUCAGUAGAAUUAUAUAAAAAGAAGACAUCUGUCUUUAGAAAACUGAGAUGAUGCAGCAGUCCUAGCAUCACACUACCACCUACUGUCAUGAAGAAAAAUUACAGUGCUUCUGUUAUCCUUACCUCUCCAUGUUGAGCACAACAUGCCCAUCUAGUGAAAGUGAAACCAAAUGUAUCUGUUCUAACAUUCAGGGACCUAAGCAUGAUCAAUUAUUGGCUUGGACCCAUAUGAUUUAAGUGCUAUUUUCAAAAUACAGCAUCAGGCCUAGUUAGAAAAGUCCCAGUAUGCGGAGAGGAACAGUGAUCAACAAUGCCCACGCUCCACCUUUUUGCAGCUAUCUACAGUAAAUUACUCACGCCCCUCCACGGCACAGCUACCUUGUAGACCAUAUGGAAUGAGUUUUCAGUAUGACCUCAGAAGAAGAAUUUCAGAUUAAGAAGUUAUCAAGUGUUUCGGUUUUCCCCAUCCAGCUAGACAGCUAGACAUUUAAUUUGAAUGGACCGACCAGCAGAAUUACGAUGCCCGUUUUAAUACUUUCUGUGGUUUGUUUUUAUCAGUUCUUUUGGUUUAAUGAGUUGUUGUCUUUCUUCUCAAAUAGUCAGUGAUUAUGCCAUGUUCGUGCAGUUGUGGCUGUGUGCGUUUGAAUUUUAGACCGUAUAAAAUUGGACAACUCAUUAAAAAAACAAAAAACAACAGUAUUUGUUGGUUAUAAGACAUGUAUUAAAUCUGAAACAGAUGAAAGGGGGAGCUCGAUGUUGUAGAAACUACUCAGAUUCAAUAGUGUAACAAUGUAAUGCCCUUUUCAUGACAUCCAUAACGAAGGUUGUCCAAGCCUGCCCCCUUUAGUACUUGAACCAUUUUGAACAAGACACAUUCAGCCUACUGGGUAAAAUGGUUCAACUAAAACAAGGAAAUAAAAAGGCUAAACACUGCAGGAUGUUUCAAUGCCAAAUAGGAUCUAAGACUAACUACAGCUAUAUUUCACUAUAAAUAAAAUCAAUUAAUUUCAUGUUUUUUGUUUUUUUUGUUUUAUUUUGUUUUUGUUUUGAUUUUGUAUUUUUUUCUCAUUUUGGCACACUAACCCAUCAAAACCAGAGAUUCUGAAUCUCCCUCAUGUUCUGAUAGUUUACCAUUCCUUCAGCAACAAGAAACGAGGGAUAAAAUGACUUCUUCAUUUUCACUCCCCCUGCCAUGAC